AUUGAACGCUGGCGGCAGGCCUAACACAUGCAAGUCGAGCGGAUGAAGGGAGCUUGCUCCUGGAUUCAGCGGCGGACGGGUGAGUAAUGCCUAGGAAUCUGCCUGGUAGUGGGGGAUAACGUCCGGAAACGGGCGCUAAUACCGCAUACGUCCUGAGGGAGAAAGUGGGGGAUCUUCGGACCUCACGCUAUCAGAUGAGCCUAGGUCGGAUUAGCUAGUUGGUGGGGUAAAGGCCUACCAAGGCGACGAUCCGUAACUGGUCUGAGAGGAUGAUCAGUCACACUGGAACUGAGACACGGUCCAGACUCCUACGGGAGGCAGCAGUGGGGAAUAUUGGACAAUGGGCGAAAGCCUGAUCCAGCCAUGCCGCGUGUGUGAAGAAGGUCUUCGGAUUGUAAAGCACUUUAAGUGGGGAGGAAGGUCAGUAAGUUAAUACCUUGCUGUUUUGACGUUACCAACAGAAUAAGCACCGGCUAACUUCGUG
This 484-nucleotide ribosomal RNA is filed under the name uncultured bacterium. Its description in RNAcentral is "partial 16S ribosomal RNA". It matches the Rfam family "Bacterial small subunit ribosomal RNA", at positions 30 to 507 of the family's 1533-position model. The record is from RNAcentral.